UGCAUGUGCAUGGGCAUGGGCAUGGGCAUGGGCAGGAGCAUGGGAUGGGGAUAGGGAGAGGGAGAGGAAUCGGAAUAGGAAUGCGAAUGCGAAUGCGGAAGCGGAAACGGAAGGGAGAAGGAGAGGGAGAGGGAGAGGGAGAGGGAGAGGGAGAGGGGGAGAGGACAUCUAAGGUAGGCCAGGCUAAGCUGUGAUGGCUUAAAUUAGGUGGGUUAAAUGCAUUCUCACCUUGACGAUGUCUUCCAGGUACAAUAGGUUUAGCAGGCUGCAACCCCACGGUAAGUCAAGGAGCAUGUGUGAGACGUGACCAGAGCACAGAAGGCCCCGUGUCAUCUCUUUCUUCUCUGCAGCCUCAGGGCCUGCCUACUCCUCCUCUCCCUGGCCUCGACCAUGCUAACGUAUAGUGAGCCCUCAGUAUCCGUGGGUUCCGUCUGCACGCAUACAGUCAGCCAACUGCAGAUGGAAAAUAUUCAGAAAAAAUAGUCGCCUCUGUACUGAACCUGAGCAGACUUGCUUUCUCGUCAUUUUCCCCGAAACAAUACAGUCCAGCAACUGUCUACAUAGCAUUUACAUUGUAUUAGGUGUUAUAAUUAAUCUAGGUAUGAUUUAAAGUGUACAACAUGUGUGAGUUCCAUGCACAUAACACACCAUUUUUAUGUAAGGGGCUUGGUCCUGGAACCAAUUUCCUGCAGAUACCAAGGAGGGGCGGGGUUAUUCAAAGAUUUAACAUGCAGAGCUUAACCCUGACCAAGUCAAUGCCACUGCUAUCCUUGCUGUAGAGAUGAGGAAACUUCAGAAGCUAGAGGACAAGUUGAGGGUCAAGGGUAACCGGUGUCAGGACGUAGCAAGGACUGCAGGUCUGUUUUGCCCCAGAAUGUCUCCCCACAGUCACUCCUAACCCAGAGGAACACGAGAAGAGGAACACUUCUAAGUGGACGAGAACUACGGGGUCAUCUUUUCGUGCGUUCUCAGUGGGCAGAUGAGAACACAGAGUGACGCAGCCAGGGCAGCCCACGCUGUGCUCCUGUCACCACCCCACAGCAAGGUCUGCAGUCAGUGGGAACGUAGAACCCAUUCACGGCUUUCCUGUCGCAUUUCAGAUAACGGCUAACCUCGGCAGUGAAGGCAAGGCAAUUUCCCGCCCCUGGGUUCAACAACGCGAGGCCCGGGCUGACUUGCCAGGCCAUUUUCAAACAGUACCGAGAGUUGGAAAAGACAACCGAUCCACGCGCUUUCUGAGAAAGACCGGCUCCUUCAAGAGAAGGCUCUGGACAAACAGAAAGAGCUUAUGUGACACGAUGAAUGACAAGACGUCCUUGCCGGCUCUCUUCACUGUGUCUGCAGUGGAAACUACCUGGUCUCAACCGGCUCUCCACCUGAGAAAGCCAGCGCUAGAUGCAUCGGCCCAGGCCUUAAAAUGAUCCUGCAUCAGUUUGAAGAGAAGGAAGCAGAGUCUCCAUUUGGAAGAACAACCAAUAAAGAUGAGAUGGCCCAGAACCUUCCA
RNAcentral lists this long non-coding RNA (1504 nucleotides) under Oryctolagus cuniculus (rabbit). RNAcentral describes it as "lncRNA (ENSOCUG00000034172.1)". Lineage: Eukaryota; Metazoa; Chordata; Mammalia; Lagomorpha; Leporidae. The record is from RNAcentral.